RNAcentral lists this ribosomal RNA (253 nucleotides) under uncultured bacterium. RNAcentral's name for it is "partial 16S ribosomal RNA". It matches the Rfam family "Bacterial small subunit ribosomal RNA", at positions 524 to 776 of the family's 1533-position model. The record is from RNAcentral.
UACGUAGGGGGCUAGCGUUGUCCGGAAUUAUUGGGCGUAAAGCGCGUGUAGGCGGUUCGAUUAGUCUGCUGUGAAAGUCGGGGGCUCAACCCUCGAAUGCCGGUGGAUACUGUCGGACUAGAGUACGGAAGAGGCGAGUGGAAUUCCUGGUGUAGCGGUGAAAUGCGCAGAUAUCAGGAGGAACACCAAUUGCGAAGGCAGCUCGCUGGGACGUUACUGACGCUGAGACGCGAAAGCGUGGGGAGCGAACAGG